This is a long non-coding RNA of Ahaetulla prasina, 1507 nucleotides long. RefSeq lists it as uncharacterized. The transcript has 3 exons. The record is from RefSeq and is a predicted model, not a curated record. Lineage: Eukaryota; Metazoa; Chordata; Lepidosauria; Squamata; Colubridae.
UUUUCAGGAGGAUCCCUUGGGUAGAUCAAAAUCAGGACACUUCAGGAGAGAAACAACGCAUGAACUUUUCUGGUUCUUACGAUGGAGCUCAAGCAGUGGUUGAACCUCCAAAUCAAGAGAGUCUUGUGUCCUUCGAAGACGUGGCUGUGUAUUUCUCUGAGGAGGAAUGGUCUCAGCUGGAUCCUGACCAAAAAGCGCUGCAUUUGGAAGUCAUGCUGGAAAACCAUAGAAACAUGGUCUCUCUGGGUAAGAGUUUUCUAGUCCCCAAUCAGAGAGUUCAAGAAGACAGAUUAUAGUUAAUUUUCUUUAAAUUAAAAAAUCAUUCCUCAGAUAUCGUCUCCUGGGAACGAGAGGGAAAAGGUCUGGCCUUCUCAUUCUCCAAGGAAGGAAAGAGGUCAAUGUCUCUUUGUUUAUAUGCUUUCUGUGUCAUUUCUUAUCUCUGUUUUUGCAUUUCUAUUGGAACUUAUCUGUGGAGACUGAGAAGAAUGAGGUGUGCUUUUAUGUGUCGUCUGGAAGAAUGUGUUGUGAUGUGUCCUCUGGAACCUCCAAAAAUUACGUGAGAAUAGAACUUUCACGGUCAGGCCAUGGAAGAGCAUGUAAUGCCAGAUCACGCGAGAUCAGUAGUCUGAGAUCUUGCACUACUGAUCUCACGUGAUCUCGCAGUAAAGUAGUUUAUGCCUCAUUUCGCAGAGAACAGAGGCCUAAACUACACUCUAGAUCAGUAGUGCAAUAUCUCAGGGUAGUGAACGUGCGUGAUCUCGCACUAAUUCCUUCUUGGAUGUUUCCCCUGAUUACCGGUGUUUCUUAACUCAAAACUGACUUUGAAUGAGUUUUGCAGUUUGAUCUUUUUCUCUAACCUUGUUAUCAUUUUCAUUUCUUUUCCUUUGAAGGUACUAAUGAGCAGAAGAAUCAAGACUCCUAUGAACUGUUCCAAGUGAUCAAUGCUAAAGAUGAAAUGGAGAACUUUGGAAUUCAAAUGGAAUUAGAAAGCCAUGAGAGAAACCAGUCAAAUAAUUGGAAUCAGGAAAACUCAUCUUCCACUGAUGCUCCGAUACAAGACUUUCAUGCCCAGCAAGAGAAAAUAAGGAAAAAAUAUAUUGGGAAAAGUAUGAAACAAAAAGUAUUAACCCAAAACAAAGGAGAAGAUGCUAUAAGCCAGAAUGGAAAGAAUUACAAUGGGACAUUGAUUCUUUCUCUUCAAAAUAUCUUCCUUACAUCUCAAAAAAUGAUUCACACAAAAAAGGAGCCUUAUAAAUGUUUGGAAUCUGGAAAACAUUUUAGAUCAAGCGAGCAACUUACUUCCCAUGAAAGGAUUCACACUGCAGAGAUACAAUGUUCAGAAUCACCUGUAGCCCAUGCAGCCCAGACCCUCCAAUCAGCAGGAGAGAAACCCUAUAAAUGUAUGGAGUGUGGGAAAGCCUUUACUCAUAGCAGGGAACUUACUCUCCACGAAAAGCUCCACACAGGAGGGAAACCAUAUAAAUGCAUGGAGCGUGGAAAGACCUUU